UCCUACGGGGGGCAGCAGUGGGGAAUAUUGCACAAUGGGGGAAACCCUGAUGCAGCGAUGCCGCGUGGAGGAAGAAGGUUUUCGGAUUGUAAACUCCUUUUAUCAGGGACGAUAAUGACGGUACCUGAAGAAAAAGCUCCGGCUAACUACGUGCCAGCAGCCGCGGUAAUACGUAGGGAGCGAGCGUUGUCCGGAUUUACUGGGUGUAAAGGGUGCGUAGGCGGGUAAGCAAGUCAGAAGUGAAAUCCAUGGGCUUAACCCAUGAACUGCUUUUGAAACUGUUUAUCUUGAGUGAAGUAGAGGUA
Molecule: ribosomal RNA, 305 nt
Filed under: uncultured bacterium
Lineage: Bacteria
Description: bacterial SSU rRNA
Rfam family: Bacterial small subunit ribosomal RNA
Source: RNAcentral